ACGGCAGCACAGCAGUAGCAAUACUGGUGGGUGGCGAGUGGCGGACGGGUGAGUANNNNNNCGGGACCUGCCCAGACGUGGGGGAUAACGUAGGGAAACUUACGCUAAUACCGCAUACGUCCUACGGGAGAAAGCGGGGGAUCAGCAAUGACCUCGCGCGGUUGGAUGGACCGAUGUUCGACUAGCUUGUUGGUGGGGUAAUGGCCUACCAAGGCGACGAUCGAUAGCUGGUCUGAGAGGAUGAUCAGCCACACUGGGACUGAGACACGGCCCAGACUCCUACGGGAGGCAGCAGUGGGGAAUAUUGGACAAUGGGCGCAAGCCUGAUCCAGCAAUGCCGCGUGUGUGAAGAAGGCCCUCGGGUUGUAAAGCACUUUUAUCAGGAGCGAAAUCUGCCCGGUUAAUACCUGGGUAGUCUGACGGUACCUGAGGAAUAAGCACCGGCUAACUCCGUGCCAGCAGCCGCG
This 467-nucleotide ribosomal RNA is filed under the name uncultured soil bacterium. RNAcentral's name for it is "bacterial SSU rRNA". It matches the Rfam family "Bacterial small subunit ribosomal RNA", at positions 66 to 519 of the family's 1533-position model. The record is from RNAcentral.